RNAcentral lists this ribosomal RNA (253 nucleotides) under uncultured bacterium. Its description in RNAcentral is "partial 16S ribosomal RNA". It matches the Rfam family "Bacterial small subunit ribosomal RNA", at positions 524 to 776 of the family's 1533-position model. The record is from RNAcentral.
UACGUAGGGGGCAAGCGUUGUCCGGAUUUAUUGGGCGUAAAGAGCGUGUAGGCGGCCUGAAAGGUCAGCUGUGAAAACUCGAGGCUCAACCUCGAGACGUCGGUUGAAACCAUCUGGCUAGAGUCCGGAAGAGGAGUGUGGAAUUCCCGGUGGAGCGGUGAAAUGCGUAGAUAUCGUUUGGAACGCCAAUGGUGAAAACAGACUGCUGGGGUUGUGCUGACGCUGAGACACGAAAGCCAGGGGAGCGAACGGG